AGUGAACGCUGGCGGUAGGCCUAACACAUGCAAGUCGAACGGCAGCACAGUAAGAGCUUGCUCUUACGGGUGGCGAGUGGCGGACGGGUGAGGAAUACAUCGGAAUCUACUUUUUCGUGGGGGAUAACGUAGGGAAACUUACGCUAAUACCGCAUACGACCUACGGGUGAAAGCAGGGGAUCUUCGGACCUUGCGCGAUUGAAUGAGCCGAUGUCGGAUUAGCUAGUUGGCGGGGUAAAGGCCCACCAAGGCGACGAUCCGUAGCUGGUCUGAGAGGAGGAUCAGCCACACUGGAACUGAGACACGGUCCAGACUACUACGGGAGGCAGCAGUGGGGAAUAUUGGACAAUGGGCGCAAGCCUGAUCCAGCCAUACCGCGUGGGUGAAGAAGGCCUUCGGGUUGUAAAGCCCUUUUGUUGGGAAAGAAAAGCAGCAGGUUAAUACCCCGCUGUUCUGACGGUACCCAAAGAAUAAGCACCGGCUAACUUCGUG
RNAcentral lists this ribosomal RNA (492 nucleotides) under uncultured bacterium. RNAcentral's name for it is "partial 16S ribosomal RNA". It matches the Rfam family "Bacterial small subunit ribosomal RNA", at positions 29 to 507 of the family's 1533-position model. The record is from RNAcentral.